Molecule: ribosomal RNA, 576 nt
Filed under: uncultured bacterium
Lineage: Bacteria
Description: bacterial SSU rRNA
Rfam family: Bacterial small subunit ribosomal RNA
Source: RNAcentral
UCCUACGGGAGGCAGCAGUGAGGAAUAUUGGACAAUGGAGGCAACUCUGAUCCAGCCAUGCCGCGUGCAGGAUGACUGCCCUAUGGGUUGUAAACUGCUUUUAUACGGGAAGAAAAACACCUACGUGUAGGUGACUGACGGUACCGUAAGAAUAAGGACCGGCUAACUCCGUGCCAGCAGCCGCGGUAAUACGGAGGGUCCAAGCGUUAUCCGGAAUCAUUGGGUUUAAAGGGUCCGUAGGCGGGCUAUUAAGUCAGAGGUGAAAGUUUGCAGCUCAACUGUAAAAUUGCCUUUGAUACUGAUAGUCUUGAAUUGUAGUGAAGUGGUUAGAAUAUGUGGUGUAGCGGUGAAAUGCAUAGAUAUCACAUAGAAUACCGAUUGCGAAGGCAGAUCACUAACUAUAUAUUGACGCUGAGGGACGAAAGCGUGGGGAGCGAACGGGAUUAGAUACCCCGGUAGUCCACGCCGUAAACGAUGGAUACUAGCUGUUGGAUUUUUUCAGUGGCUAAGCGAAAGUGAUAAGUAUCCCACCUGGGGAGUACGUCCGCAAGAAUGAAACUCAAAGGAAUUGACGGA